GCCUUCGUGGUGUAAUGGUCAGCACACUGAGCCGGUAUUUCAGAGGUCCGUGGUUCGAUCCCCGCCGAAGGCG
RNAcentral lists this transfer RNA (73 nucleotides) under Stegodyphus mimosarum. It matches the Rfam family "tRNA". From Rfam's summary of the family: Transfer RNA (tRNA) molecules are approximately 80 nucleotides in length. Their secondary structure includes four short double-helical elements and three loops (D, anti-codon, and T loops). Further hydrogen bonds mediate the characteristic L-shaped molecular structure. tRNAs have two regions of fundamental functional importance: the anti-codon, which is responsible for specific mRNA codon recognition, and the 3' end, to which the tRNAs corresponding amino acid is attached (by aminoacyl-tRNA synthetases). tRNAs cope with the degeneracy of the genetic code in two manners: having more than one tRNA (with a specific anti-codon) for a particular amino acid; and 'wobble' base-pairing, i.e. permitting non-standard base-pairing at the 3rd anti-codon position. The record is from Rfam by way of RNAcentral. Lineage: Eukaryota; Metazoa; Arthropoda; Arachnida; Araneae; Eresidae.